Molecule: non-coding RNA, 835 nt
Organism: Dermacentor albipictus
Lineage: Eukaryota; Metazoa; Arthropoda; Arachnida; Ixodida; Ixodidae
Source: RefSeq, a predicted model, not a curated record
UGAGCAGGAAGCAUGCACAAAGCUCCAUGGGUCUGCAGCAACAUAUGAAUUCACCAGGAGGAUGAACAAAUUAUUUGACUGCUUGAACUCUCGGAGGCCUGAGCAUGUGCAGUACAAUGAAGCUGAACAUGUUGCUAGAUUUUUUGGCAUUGUCAGACAUGUUGCCGGUGAUGGAGGACAGCCAACAGUCCAGCAAUUCCUAUUUAUAUAUAGGAUGCUUUCUGUGAAGAAUCUUGUCCAGCCGCCCAAGCGAUCCUCAGUAGCUGGAGAUGGUCCACAACUGCUCCUCAAGCUGCAAGAUUUAUUCAACAAAGAAAAACCUACUGGGGCCUGUCAUGCUGAUUCUUUGGCUAUUCUUCUGGAUGAAGUCCUCUUGGAACCUGCAGAAACGGCGGAGGAGGCUUCAGUUCUCUGCCAUCAGCAGUCCCCAAAAGAAUGCAUAAUGGAUUACCUUGCUGGCUAUGUCGCAAAAAAGUUUUCUUCAUUGAGCUGCUCGAGCUGUGUAAGAACAAUGAGAAGUUUUGAACGAGCGGCAACUGGCCUGAUUCUUGCCAAAUCCAAAGGUGGUCUACAAGUGCCUUCCAACCAGCUAGUCGCUCUCCUCCAAAUUGUGGAAGAUCAUCUGGAAGUGUGCACAGUUGACAAAAUUGCCUGUUCUGAUGUGUACGUUAAUAUUGUGGAGAAUGUUUUGAUGGACAGUCGUACUGCUACAGCCGCUGUCGGCUGCAAAUCACACUUUGUAAGCACCACUGCAGAAGUAGUUCAGUUUUUUCUUAAGACCCGCUUGCAUUUUUUCACGAGAGAAAAAAACAAGCAAAUGCAAGCAAAGGGGCGA